This 428-nucleotide ribosomal RNA is filed under the name uncultured bacterium. Its description in RNAcentral is "bacterial SSU rRNA". It matches the Rfam family "Bacterial small subunit ribosomal RNA", at positions 355 to 776 of the family's 1533-position model. The record is from RNAcentral.
UAGGGAAUCUUCCGCAAUGGACGAAAGUCUGACGGAGCAACGCCGCGUGAGUGAUGAAGGUUUUCGGAUCGUAAAGCUCUGUUGCCAGGGAAGAACAGAAGUGAGAGUAACUACUCACUUUGUGACGGUACCUGAGAAGAAAGCCCCGGCUAACUACGUGCCAGCAGCCGCGGUAAUACGUAGGGGGCAAGCGUUGUCCGGAAUUAUUGGGCGUAAAGCGCGCGCAGGCGGUGAUUUAAGUUUGGUGUUUAAGCCCAGGGCUCAACCCUGGUACGCACCGAAAACUGAAUGACUUGAGUGCAGAAGAGGAGAGUGGAAUUCCACGUGUAGCGGUGAAAUGCGUAGAUAUGUGGAGGAACACCAGUGGCGAAGGCGACUCUCUGGUCUGUAACUGACGCUGAGGCGCGAAAGCGUGGGGAGCAAACAGG